UGCCAGCCGCCGCGGUAAUACGGAAGGUCCUAGCGUUGUUCGGAAUUACUGGGCGUAAAGCGCAUGUAGGCGGAACAGAAAGUUAGAAGUGAAAUCCCUGGGCUCAACCUAGGAAUUGCUUUUAAAACUUCUGUUCUGGAAUUCAGGAGAGGAAAAUGGAAUUUCCAGUGUAGAGGUGAAAUUCGUAGAUAUUGGAAGGAACACCAGUGGCGAAGGCGAUUUUCUGGACUGAUACUGACACUCAUAGGCGACAGCUAGGGGAGCAAAAGGGAUUAGAUA
RNAcentral lists this ribosomal RNA (279 nucleotides) under uncultured bacterium. Its description in RNAcentral is "partial 16S ribosomal RNA". It matches the Rfam family "Bacterial small subunit ribosomal RNA", at positions 506 to 784 of the family's 1533-position model. The record is from RNAcentral.